This 72-nucleotide transfer RNA is filed under the name Diaphorina citri (Asian citrus psyllid). It matches the Rfam family "tRNA". From Rfam's summary of the family: Transfer RNA (tRNA) molecules are approximately 80 nucleotides in length. Their secondary structure includes four short double-helical elements and three loops (D, anti-codon, and T loops). Further hydrogen bonds mediate the characteristic L-shaped molecular structure. tRNAs have two regions of fundamental functional importance: the anti-codon, which is responsible for specific mRNA codon recognition, and the 3' end, to which the tRNAs corresponding amino acid is attached (by aminoacyl-tRNA synthetases). tRNAs cope with the degeneracy of the genetic code in two manners: having more than one tRNA (with a specific anti-codon) for a particular amino acid; and 'wobble' base-pairing, i.e. permitting non-standard base-pairing at the 3rd anti-codon position. The record is from Rfam by way of RNAcentral. Lineage: Eukaryota; Metazoa; Arthropoda; Insecta; Hemiptera; Psyllidae.
GCUCCCAUGGCGUAGUGGUCACUGCGCUCGCCUUGCACGCGGGAGACCCGGGUUCGAUUCCCGACGGGGCCA